Molecule: long non-coding RNA, 1408 nt
Organism: Cyprinus carpio carpio
Lineage: Eukaryota; Metazoa; Chordata; Actinopteri; Cypriniformes; Cyprinidae
Source: Ensembl
AUAUAUAUAUAUAUAUAUUCAUUCAUUCAUUCAUUCAUUCAUUCAUUCAUUCAUUCAUUCAUUCAUUCAUUCAUUCAUUCAUUCAUUCAUUCAUUCAUUCAUUCAUUCAUUCAUUCAUUCAUUCAUUCAUUCAUUCAUUCAUUCAUUCAUUCAUUCAUUCAUUCAUUCCAAAUUCUGCAAGUUGUUUCAUAACAACUUCAUGACAUCCAGAUACUGUCUACAGUCAGUGUACUUUCCCAUCAUCAGUAAAGUGUACAUAUUUUAAGUGUACACUAGAAGUUUGUGAAUUAGUUAUUCUUAAUUUUAAGAUGAAGUGAGAGCCAUGAUAAUGAAGGAACAUCAGUAGAGGAGCAAACAGAUCUUUUGUAGAAUCCAGUCCAUGUGUUUGUAGUUUCUCUAUUUCUUUCUGUCUGUUUGUGGACUGUAUAGAAACUGCUGUUGUGUGGAUGUUUUCUGGCCAGGGUGGCAUCAUUAACUGCGGAGCAGGAAGUGUUGAUAAGACUCCACCCUGACAGCAAUGUCUGUGUGCUGGAAAAUUGCACACACUGUGGAACGAGGGGAUGACGGCUGGUCAUCACAGUGGCAUCGGAGGCCUUCAACACAGAUAUGUCCUGCUGUGCAGGAUCAUGUGAGAGGAGGCCACAGUAUUGUAAUGCACAGAAACACUGUGUGUGUUUGAAUAGAUGAGCAUUACUAGCAGAUUUGCACUUUCAUUUUAGUUUUUUGCCUUUUUUAUUUGCUUUUAAAAAAAGUACCCAAAAAAUACCUACUGUUCAUUGUCAGAGCAUUAUGAGAUGAGCGAAUGAAAUUCAGACAAACUGCAAAAUUCUUUUUUUUUUGAGGUGUCAAGAGGAAAAAGUAUUUAAUGUCUGCUUCAGAAUUUCUUCAAUGUUUGCAUUUGUAGUAUUGGAGAAUGAAUCUUGUUCCUUUCAGACAGCAAAUUAACUUAUGAGUAUGUGAAGCUAUGAGAUUGAGGGGUCACUGAAAGGUACAAAUAAACUAGAAGUUUCUCUACAUUGUAAAGAUAUUGUUAUAGUAAAAAAAAAAAAAAAAAUCCUAUUUAUUCAGGGUGUGUGAUUACUUUGAAUAAAACUUUCUUCUUUUUUAACACUCGUAUAAUCUAUGUGCUCCUCCAAAAAUACUUCAAACAAGAACAAAGAGAGCUUGAGUUUAAGACUAAACAGACAUGUGCACCCCAACUUGUGCAAAGUAGCAGAAGCAAGUUGACUGGGCUUUAAUGGUGGUAAAUGUGCUGUUUGUUCUGGUACGUAGCUGUGUUAGUCACACUAUGUGCAGCUCUACUCUAAUGUGUUGCAGGUACUGACUGUUUACAUCUGUGUAAAUAUUCUCAUCUGUUCAUGUGCGUGCAAUGGUCAAUAAACAGAAGCCUGUGCUUUUGAUUAAAUAA